RNAcentral lists this ribosomal RNA (494 nucleotides) under uncultured bacterium. RNAcentral's name for it is "partial 16S ribosomal RNA". It matches the Rfam family "Bacterial small subunit ribosomal RNA", at positions 28 to 507 of the family's 1533-position model. The record is from RNAcentral.
GACGAACGCUGGCGGCGUGCUUAACACAUGCAAGUCGAACGGAAAGGCCUGCUUUCCCUUGUGGAUUGCGGGUACUCGAGUGGCGAACGGGUGAGUAACACGUGAGUGAUCUGCCCCCAACUUGGGUAUAAGCCUGGGAAACUGGGUCUAAUUCCCGAUAGGACUGCAGGGUGGUGCCUGUGGUGGAAAACGAUUUUCUAGUGGUUGGGGAUGAGCUCGCGGCCUAUCAGCUUGUUGGUGGGGUAAUGGCCUACCAAGGCGGCGACGGGUAGCCGGCCUGAGAGGGUGGACGGCCACAUUGGGACUGAGAUACGGCCCAGACUCCGACGGGAGGCAGCAGUGGGGAAUAUUGCACAAUGGGCGGAAGCCUGAUGCAGCGACGCCGCGUGGGGGAUGACGGCCUUCGGGUUGUAAACUCCUUUCGACCGCGAGGAAGCCACCUGGUUGGAAGGGUGGUGACGGUAGUGGGAGAAGAAGCACCGGCUAACUACGUG